Molecule: long non-coding RNA, 1722 nt
Organism: Oncorhynchus masou masou (cherry salmon)
Lineage: Eukaryota; Metazoa; Chordata; Actinopteri; Salmoniformes; Salmonidae
Exons: 3
Source: RefSeq, a predicted model, not a curated record
UCCUUUAGAGACUGUGUUUGUGGCUGACCUACUUCUCACAGAGAACACAGUAGGUUUGCAGUCCUAAAUGGCACCCUUUUCCGUUUAUAGUGCAAUACUUUUGACAGGGCUCUGGUCAAAAGUAGUGCACUAUAGGGGCUUGGGAGCCAUUUGGGACGAACACGGAGUUUGCAGUCCCACGAACUCGCAGUAACAGCAGCAAAUGGAACUUAACAAGACAUUAAUUAAUUGCAACCUACGAUCUUAUCAAGGGGAAGUAAUAAAAGGAGACUAUGAGAAGGGAGUGGGCCACCUGACCAACGCCAUUGCUGUGUGUGGUUAACUCCGGCCGCUCCUCUAGGUGCUCCGCAGACCUACUCCUGUCUUUUAGAUCCUGCUGAAAUGGUCCACUGUCAGCCAGUUUCCCGUGUGCAUCAAGAAUGGUCCACCACCCAAAGGAUAUCCAGCCAACUUGACACAACUAUGGGAGGCAUUGGUGUCUACAUGAGCCAGUGUCUCAUGUAGAGUCCAUGCUAAGAUGAAUUGAUGUUGUUCUGAAAGCAAAAGGUUGGGUUGCAACUCAAUAUUAGGAAGGUGUUCUCAGGGUAUAUAUUUUAUGAAACAUACAAAUUAUAACCUGUUUCUUGACCACAAGAGCUUUUUCUAGGACAGUAAUUACUGUAACCUUUAGGACAAUUUCUCCAUCACAGGUCCCCAUGUGUACAGUAAAGGUAGAUCGUUAACAUAACUUAUGAUGGUUUCAAUGUUCCGAUUAGGCAUGACAAAUCAAUUACCUAUUUACAUUACACUUCACACAAACAUUUCAUAUGCAUUGAAUAUAGGAUUUUCACCAUUGUGUAGUAAGAUGUAUUGACUCGAGCAAAUAUGAUGUAACAAUACUGGAUGGGUAGCGCAAGCAGGUGUCUCGACUAGGUCGGGGUGAAGUCAAGGAUAGUUCACUCAGGCCGUUUACCAUUGUCUACUUAAGAGGGUGGAUCUCCCAUAGACGCCCAAUGUGAUAUCAGCUGGGUCUGGUCUACUUAGUUCAUUGACAUCCACUGAAACAGAAAAAAUGAGGGAGUGGUAUGUCUCGCUUCAUCUUCCGUCUCUGGUGAAGCUCUUGAUUCACCUGGCUUGACCAAGAGGUUAUGCGAUGGGGUCCAGUUGAGGUCACUAUGAAGGAGAUGGGAGACCACGCGCCUAGGGUGCCACGUCAGUUGCUACUUAAAGGGAUACUUUGGGAUUUUUGCAAUGAGGCCCUUUAUCUACUUCCCCAGAGUCAGAUGAACUCAUGGAUACCAUUUUUAUGUCUCUGCCUGCAGUUUGAAGGAAGUUGCUAGCUAGCGCAAUUGCUAACUAGCGUUAGCGCAAUGACUGGAGGCUAACAUUAGUUAGCAUUGGCUAGCAAAACUACCUCUAACUUUCUUCAUGCUUAACACCGAGACAUAAAAAUGGCAUCUGCUUUGGCUAUGUUACACCCUGACCUUAGAGAGCCGUUUUAUUUCUCUAUUUGGUUAGGUCAGUGUGUGAUUUGGCCGAGUGUGGUUCCCAGUCAGAGGCAGCUGUCUAUCGUUGCCUCUGAUUGGGAAUCAUACUUAGGCAGCCUUUUUCCCACCUAAUGUUGUGGGUAAUUAUUUGUUUUCUGUGUGUAUUUGUGUGCACCACGGUUGCGUCACGUUCGGUUUCUGUUUACCUGUUUUUUCAUGAAGGUUUCACUUUAUUAAAGAUGUGGAAUUACAUGCA